Molecule: long non-coding RNA, 262 nt
Organism: Callorhinchus milii (elephant shark)
Lineage: Eukaryota; Metazoa; Chordata; Chondrichthyes; Chimaeriformes; Callorhinchidae
Exons: 2
Source: RefSeq, a predicted model, not a curated record
GCGGAGAGAUGUAUCUGCCUUCAAGUGGCCUCUCAGCGAUUGAUCUCUGCAAACAAUCAUAGCAAUCAAGCAAUAUCACGGCUGAUAUAGUUAGCAAUUCAGGUCCUGUGGAGCGAUUGAAUUGUCUGUGUAAAUGCAGAGCUUCUCAGCUGUUAGGGGGAUGGUUUCUUUCAACUUGGAUGCCAGAAACAUGCAGACUGCCCCCAGCAGCUGGAGGUGACACUUUUUGGUUGGAACCGAAGAUAAAAAUCUAUCCAGAUAA